Non-coding RNA from Lupinus angustifolius (narrow-leaved blue lupine), 89 nucleotides. The record is from Rfam. NCBI's taxonomy places the organism in Eukaryota, Viridiplantae, Streptophyta, Magnoliopsida, Fabales, Fabaceae.
AAACCAUGUGAUGAACUUGGAUUUACAUAAUCUCAUGACGGUCAUCUGAGAUUCACUAUGAUGUUAUAAUCCAAUAUUUCUGAGUGGUU